RNAcentral lists this ribosomal RNA (108 nucleotides) under Fukomys damarensis (Damara mole-rat). Lineage: Eukaryota; Metazoa; Chordata; Mammalia; Rodentia; Bathyergidae. The record is from RNAcentral.
GUCUAUGGACACACCACCCUGAAUGCGCCUGAUUUCACCUGAUCUCAGAAGCUUAAGCAGGGCUGGGCCUGGAUAGUACUUGGAUGGGAGAAUUGCCAGUUGUGGCAC